CACCGGUGCUGUGCCAGGCUGGAGCUGAGACAGAAGCACUUCCCGCAGUCAGGGCAGCGGAAGCGGGUCUCGCCGGCAUGGGGGCGCUGGUGCUCGAUCAGGUUGGAGCUCUGGCCGAAGGCAGCACACAGCAGGAUUCCCUGACUGGCCCGUGAUCUCCCGGAUGGAGCCAGGGGAAGAGCCGAGGGUCCCAGAUCUCCAGGGCUCCCAGGAAAGGGAGAUCCCCAGAGGUGCCCACCCAGGUGAAGAAUAAGCAGCACUGUCUCGGAGUGAAGGGGAAAGCUGGGGUCCCAGCCAAGCCACCGGGAGCCCCCCAGGUCUGUCACAUCUCAUUCAGUCUCAUCCCCAGCAGGUCCCUGUCCUCAUGGCAGGUGUCACUCCUGGAUCUCCCAGUUCUACGCUGUUGGGUCUGAUGGCCUCUGCUCCUCUGUCCUUGAAAUUAUUGUGCAGUGACACUUUUAUCAACAGAGGACGGAGGGAUGUGUCUGCAGCCUUAACAAAGUUCUGUCAGAUAUUUAUUUUUCAGGACCACGGUCUUAGCUGGGGUAAAUCCACUGUAACAACACACAUGGAUCAUGGGUCACGAACUCUAGCACCUUUGGAGCUCACAGCCUGAGAUAGUAGAUACUGUUUUCACCUCUCAGCUCACCACCUGAGCAAAAACAGGUUAGCUCACAGGUUCAUAAACCUUUUACUUCACCCAGCCACUAGAGGGUGAUAAAGACCUGCACUGUUUAGUCAUGGUGGAUGACACCCACGGCAGAUGUUCUUCUAUCCCUUAAUUUCAUCUUUAGGCUGCACUGCGAAUGGAAGGUCUGAAGGUGAAAUCAAUGGACAGACGUGAGCUUCUCAUUACAGUUGAUUGGGAAUUGUUUUGACAUUCUCCCCCCCCC
Non-coding RNA from Chrysemys picta bellii (western painted turtle), 893 nucleotides. NCBI's taxonomy places the organism in Eukaryota, Metazoa, Chordata, Testudines, Emydidae. The record is from RefSeq and is a predicted model, not a curated record.